Pan paniscus (pygmy chimpanzee) is the source of this 107-nucleotide small nuclear RNA. The record is from Ensembl. Lineage: Eukaryota; Metazoa; Chordata; Mammalia; Primates; Hominidae.
GCAUUGGCUUCGGCAGCACAUAUACUAAAAUUGGAACAAUAUAGAGAAGAUUAGCAUGUGCCCUGUGCAAGGAUGACAUGGAAAUUCGGGAAGCUUUCCACAUUUUU